This 553-nucleotide ribosomal RNA is filed under the name Penicillium corylophilum. RNAcentral's name for it is "eukaryotic LSU rRNA". The stretch from base 173 to 326 matches the Rfam family "5.8S ribosomal RNA". Lineage: Eukaryota; Fungi; Ascomycota; Eurotiomycetes; Eurotiales; Aspergillaceae. The record is from RNAcentral.
GAACGGAGCGAGGGCUCUGGUCACCUCCCACCCAUGUUUAUUGUACCUUGUUGCUUCGGCGGGCCCGCCUCACGGCCGCCGGGGGGCUUCUGCCCUCUGGCCCGCGCCCGCCGAAGACACCAUUGAACACUGUCUGAAGAUUGCAGUCUGAGCAAUUAGCUAAAUAAGUUAAAACUUUCAACAACGGAUCUCUUGGUUCCGGCAUCGAUGAAGAACGCAGCGAAAUGCGAUACGUAAUGUGAAUUGCAGAAUUCAGUGAAUCAUCGAGUCUUUGAACGCACAUUGCGCCCCUUGGUAUUCCGGGGGGCAUGCCUGUCCGAGCGUCAUUGCUGCCCUCAAGCACGGCUUGUGUGUUGGGCCCCGUCCUCCUUCCCGGGGGACGGGCCCGAAAGGCAGCGGCGGCACCGCGUCCGGUCCUCGAGCGUAUGGGGCUUUGUCACCCGCUCUUGUAGGCCCGGCCGGCGCUUGCCGACAACCAUCAAUCUUUUUUCAGGUUGACCUCGGAUCAGGUAGGGAUACCCGCUGAACUUAAGCAUAUCAUAAGCCGGAGGAA